ACGUCACUGUCCUUUGGAAUGGUAGAGCUUGUUGUUUGGACCGAAGAUGAUGAGCUACAUGGCAACAGUGUCUGGGAUUGGUUUCCUGAAAACACCCAAAGUUUCAGGAAUGUUAGAUACAAAGGGUGAAGAGCAAGGACCGGAUGGAGAGUUCCGUAGGCUCAUCUGAUUCUAAAGCACACCGCUGUGGAGAGGCUCAUCACUGGCUCUGCCCUUCAUCCUCUUACCUGAGCAUUUUACAGAGGCCACCUGUCCUUCGGCACAGGUCGGCGCACCUAGAGCAGUCAUGAAGCAAUCCCCGAUGUGCUCCUCAGUUCCUGUGCAGUGGAACAUGUGUCUCCAGACCUGACCAGCCCCUUUCCCAAAAUGCGCUCCUCCUGGAGUAGAAAGGGCGACUCCACAUUUAAGCUGCUGACAUAAGACAUGAGCAUCUUCCAUGUCCCAGUGAGAGCUGCACAGGGGACCCCAGGCUCCGAGUGUCUUGAGCUCCACUCUUCCCUCACAGGAGGACUUGCCAUCUGCCAGACGGAUAUCUAUGUAUCCUGAAAGGAGACCGGGAUUUAGAAAAGAUAUCCAUGACUCCCUAACCCUCUCUCUUUCACAGCCUAGGGGCAAAUUGAAGAUAUUCUUUGUCUUACGUGAGCAGACGAUGCUGACAUCCCUGCUGUGGUUACAAGUUCUGUCUAACGGGGGCGCCACUGAGCACAGUGAAAGAUGGGACUCAUGCCCACUACACUGGAAUUCUUCACCCCAGAUCUGUCCACUUCCUUCUCCAAAAUGUGCUCCCCCUAGGAUAGAGACGACUGUCCCACACUGUAAUUCCCUGCACACCACACUGGCUGCUUCCAGAGACAAGUCAAAAUCACAGACGGAGCCCCACACGUCUCCGUGUUUCACUUCCAAACGACCGGAGCAUGGAAUAUCUCCUCCAACCAGUCUGGGUUCCCUGUGGCCUGAAAAACAAUAGUAUUUGGGUGAGAGGUACAGUUUCCACAUUUCUGCUCAUCAUGGGACUAGGAGCCAGGGUUCUCUGUAGUUUCACACUGCACCUCCUGGGUUUUGUCUAGACUGAGCAAUAGCAAAUUGUGGCUCUUGACUUUUUCACCGGGCCCGUCCUUCUAAGAGCCAAAAUCUCGAGGCUUUUGAAGAAAAGUAAGAUCAGAACUUCUCUUUUCUUCUAGCAUUUCACUUGCAUUUAUUCAUAAAGCACAGUUUGUUCCCAGUUUGGGCUCUGUCAGCCGGCCCAGCCCUUGCUGCAGUCAGAAGUCGACAGCAGCUUUAUCAACAUCUACAUGUAGGUUUUCAACAUAUCUUUGUUUGGAGCAUUGAAUGAACACCAGACUUUAAAAAGUGGAACACUUGAUAUCUGUGACUUUCCUGUCCUCUUCCCAUUCCUUUCUGACAGGCCUUUAUCACAGUGGUCCAUAGACAAACAGGCCUGUGCAUGCAGGCUCUUUCCGCCUUGCCAGCCCCACACUGUAUUCUGUGCUCCAUUCGAUCUGUCAGCAGGAAGGGCAGAGCUACAUCGGGCUCCUAGAUCUUGUGUCUCCAGGACCAAGAGAGAAAACAAACCUAUAGCCACUUAGUGUAGCUGGGCUUUAAAAUGUAAACAAAAGAGAUGCCAAGUAGUAAGAUAUGGAACUCAGAUUGGGAUGUGCUCCUCGUUAGGCUGGGGUGUGCUCCUGGUCAGGCUGGGGCAUACUCCUCGUCAUACCAUGAAGUUUAACCAUCAAGACAAGCAGGGCUUCCUUUAAUACCAGAAACCACUGAGUGUCUUGAAAACACGAACUACUUCAAAUUCACUUCCUUUAAAAACCAGAAGUUCAUCUGAGGUUGGACCUUCUAAAGAGCAAACAUCCUUCACAGAUGCCUGUGCAAACCUUUGAUGCCGUCCUCACUGUGGUACAGAUGGACAGACAGCCCUUCAGCCCCUGCGGUGCUUGUACUCUCUGUGUACACUUCAGAUCACGUGUCUUUUACCUUACACUAAAAUAUCUCUGAAAAAGUUCCAGAUAUGACUACUUUCUGCAUUAUAAAUAGAAUGUCUCAUCCUGAUGGCAUUUUACGAAUAAAGUGAAUUCUUAUCCAAGUAUGA
This is a long non-coding RNA of Grammomys surdaster, 2095 nucleotides long. RefSeq lists it as uncharacterized. The record is from RefSeq and is a predicted model, not a curated record. Lineage: Eukaryota; Metazoa; Chordata; Mammalia; Rodentia; Muridae. The transcript has 2 exons.